AACGCACGAGACCUGCGGACCUGCGGAGGGAUCAUUAAUGAGAAGCUGCCCCUCGUGGGUAGACCUCCCACCCUCUGUGAACUUACCUUUGUUGCUUUGGCAGGCCCGUCCUCUGGACCGCCGGCUUCGGCUGGCCCGUGCCUGCCAGGGGAUUCCAAACCCUGUCUGUCAGUGUUGUCUGAGUCUAUAUGAAAUCGUUAAAACUUUCAACAACGGAUCUCUAGAUCGGAAGAGCACACG
This 240-nucleotide unclassified non-coding RNA is filed under the name soil metagenome. RNAcentral describes it as "partial contains 5.8S ribosomal RNA, internal transcribed spacer 2, and large subunit ribosomal RNA". The record is from RNAcentral.